AACGAACGCUGGCGGCAGGCUUAACACAUGCAAGUCGAACGCACCUUUCGGGGUGAGUGGCAGACGGGUGAGUAACGCGUGGGAAUCUACCCUUCUCUACGGGAUAGCUCCGGGAAACUGGAAUUAAUACCGUAUACGUCCUGAGGGAGAAAGAUUUAUCGGGGAAGGAUGAGCCCGCGUUGGAUUAGCUAGUUGGUGGGGUAAAGGCCUACCAAGGCGACGAUCCAUAGCUGGUCUAAGAGGAUGAUCAGCCACAUUGGGACUGAGACACGGCCCAAACUCCUACGGGAGGCAGCAGUGGGGAAUAUUGGACAAUGGGCGCAAGCCUGAUCCAGCCAUGCUGCGUGAGUGAUGAAGGCCCUAGGGUUGUAAAGCUCUUUCAGUGGGGACGAUAAUGACGGUACCAACAGAAGAAGCCCCGGCUAACUUCGUG
This 433-nucleotide ribosomal RNA is filed under the name uncultured bacterium. RNAcentral's name for it is "partial 16S ribosomal RNA". It matches the Rfam family "Bacterial small subunit ribosomal RNA", at positions 29 to 507 of the family's 1533-position model. The record is from RNAcentral.